Molecule: long non-coding RNA, 499 nt
Filed under: Cyanistes caeruleus (blue tit)
Lineage: Eukaryota; Metazoa; Chordata; Aves; Passeriformes; Paridae
Description: lncRNA (ENSCCEG00000018368.1)
Source: RNAcentral
AUGCAUAGAACUCCAUCUUCUUUCAGAAAUGCACAGCUCUUCCAGCAAUUUAUGGAGAGAAAUACAGGGGUAUUUGUUCUUUGGGUUGUUGUGUCUCCAAGCCCAGCAACCCGGACUCGUCCCACACCUUCUGCCACAGAACCUGCCAGCCUGCAGAUGAAUCGAGGCAUUUCUUUCCCUUCCUGCAACUUCUUGGCCCAGAAUUUCCCAGGCCUGCCUCUCUUCCCCAAAUCAAAGAUCACACAGCAGACCAUGCUUCACCUGCACUGGGAGGACCCAUCUGUCUUUUUUUGUCUGGAAAUACUGAGAUUGCUGCAGCAUCUGCCACCUCCAGCGUUCUCAGGUUGGGCUGGAACAGGAAAUAAGAGGAGUCUCACAAAGUUUCUAAGUGCUUUGGUCAUUCUGUAAGAGCUUGUAAAGCUCGGGAAGAGCCAGAGGGAAAGAGGAAAACAAGCCAGGAAAGCCAGGUUGGUGAAACCCUGCUCUGGCCACAGUGGUG